This is a long non-coding RNA of Anastrepha obliqua, 445 nucleotides long. RefSeq lists it as uncharacterized. The transcript has 3 exons. NCBI's taxonomy places the organism in Eukaryota, Metazoa, Arthropoda, Insecta, Diptera, Tephritidae. The record is from RefSeq and is a predicted model, not a curated record.
AAUAAAUUGUAAAAGGCUAAGCCUGGUACUUUUUCAAAAUUUAUUCAAUAAUUCCAUUGACCAAAGUUGUUGAAGAGGAUAAAUAUUCCACAUUUAUGUAUGGCGAAUGCUGGUGCAGUGAUAGUUCUGGGUCGGACAUAAAUCCGACUCGUUCCAGUAACAUCAAUCAAACUGACUUUGGUGAGAAUGUCCAAAUUGGAAAGCACACCUUGAAUAUUUUCUUCAUAUGGGGGUUGGCCGUUUGACCAAUAUUAAGCGAAACUUCAAAAAUUUCAAGUCCACUCAACGUAUUUCACUACAUUACUUUUUUCCACGGGCCCUACGUAAUUUUCCAACACUCUUAGCGAAUUUAUAGAUCUAAAAAUUGUAUAAAUGGAAGAAACUACUCACUUUGGCCUUGACGUCAGACUAGGAUCUGAUGUUUUGCGUCGACUAUUGCGAUUGC